GUCAACCACCCCGACUGAAGUCCGGGGCUUGCCUUGGCGGGGGUGAGGGUAACAGGUUGACUAGACUGAGCCCUGUGUAAUAUAGGGCUACACAGGCGGGGCUAGAAGAACCACCCGGGUGCCGGUCCCAGCCCGGGGAAAUUCG
The sequence is a small RNA, 145 nucleotides long. It matches the Rfam family "HNH endonuclease-associated RNA and ORF (HEARO) RNA", at positions 1 to 132 of the family's 211-position model.